UACAGAGGUGGCAAGCGUUGUUCGGAAUUACUGGGCGUAAAGGGCGCGUAGGCGGCCAUCUAAGUCAGACGUGAAAUCCCCCGGCUUAACCUGGGAACUGCGUCUGAUACUGGACGGCUUGAGUAUGGGAGAGGGAUGUAGAAUUCCAGGUGUAGCGGUGAAAUGCGCAGAUAUCAGGAAGAACACCCGUGGCGAAGGCGGUUCUCUGGGACGGUACUGACGCUGAGACGCGAAAGCGUGGGGAGCGAACAGG
RNAcentral lists this ribosomal RNA (253 nucleotides) under uncultured bacterium. RNAcentral describes it as "partial 16S ribosomal RNA". It matches the Rfam family "Bacterial small subunit ribosomal RNA", at positions 524 to 776 of the family's 1533-position model. The record is from RNAcentral.